Molecule: ribosomal RNA, 583 nt
Filed under: uncultured Chryseobacterium sp.
Lineage: Bacteria; Pseudomonadati; Bacteroidota; Flavobacteriia; Flavobacteriales; Weeksellaceae
Description: bacterial SSU rRNA
Rfam family: Bacterial small subunit ribosomal RNA
Source: RNAcentral
ACUCUCGACUAGCAAGUAAUACGGAGGGUGCAAGCGUUAUCCGGAUUUAUUGGGUUUAAAGGGUCCGUAGGCGGAUGCGUAAGUCAGUGGUGAAAUCUCACAGCUCAACUGUGGAACUGCCAUUGAUACUGCGUGUCUUGAGUGAGGUUGAAGUAGCUGGAAUAAGUAGUGUAGCGGUGAAAUGCAUAGAUAUUACUUAGAACACCAAUUGCGAAGGCAGGUUACUAAGUCUCAACUGACGCUGAUGGACGAAAGCGUGGGGAGCGAACAGGAUUAGAUACCCUGGUAGUCCACGCUGUAAACGAUGCUAACUCGUUUUUGGGGAUUUAUCUUCAGAGACUAAGCGAAAGUGAUAAGUUAGCCACCUGGGGAGUACGAACGCAAGUUUGAAACUCAAAGGAAUUGACGGGGGCCCGCACAAGCGGUGGAUUAUGUGGUUUAAUUCGAUGAUACGCGAGGAACCUUACCAAGGCUUAAAUGGAAAUUGAUCGGUUUAAAAAUAAACCUUCCCUUCAGGAAAUUUUUAAGGUGCUGCAUGGUUUGUCGUCAACCUCCUGCCCUAGAGGUGGUUAGGUUAAAUCCC